Transfer RNA from Pisolithus microcarpus 441, 81 nucleotides. It matches the Rfam family "tRNA". From Rfam's summary of the family: Transfer RNA (tRNA) molecules are approximately 80 nucleotides in length. The record is from Rfam. Lineage: Eukaryota; Fungi; Basidiomycota; Agaricomycetes; Boletales; Pisolithaceae.
GGGCCCUUGGCACAGUUGGUAGCGCGCAUGCUUCGCACCGUAGAUUGCAUGAGGUCGUGGGUUCGACUCCCACAGAGUCCA